Molecule: long non-coding RNA, 1358 nt
Filed under: Dasypus novemcinctus (nine-banded armadillo)
Lineage: Eukaryota; Metazoa; Chordata; Mammalia; Cingulata; Dasypodidae
Description: lncRNA (ENSDNOG00000051123.1)
Source: RNAcentral
GCGGGGUUUCCACCCCUCCCGCUCGGAACCGCGGCAUGCGAGGCGGGCCCUGGGAAGCCGCGUCUGCGGGAGCGGUGGUGAACCGCUCAGGGUGCGGCGCGAGCCCGAGGGGGUUAAGCGCGACGUUCGCGGGCGCGGCGCGGACGGGAGCGCGCGGGCGCGGGGAUGGAGGACGGCGGGGCCCGGCCGCGGCUCGGGGCGGAGGCGGAGGCGGCCGGGGCGCGAGCGCGGCCGGGGGGCACGCUGCGACCCUUCGCGCCGUUCCCGGGGGCGGCCGAGGCCGACGAGAGCGGCGGCGACUGGAGCUUCAUCGACUGCGAGAUGGAGGAGGUGGACCUGCAGGACCUGCCCAGCGCCACCAUCGCCUGCCACCUGGACCCGCGCGUGUUCGUGGACGGCCUGUGCCGGAGCCUGAGACUUGAAUGAGCGCACUGACCCAGUCCCUUAAGUACUGUUUACCGGCUCAUCACAAAAAUCUGAGGGCUGAGCUGAACCUGUUGCAGUACUAUUUUAUGGAUUUUCCGGAAGGAGCAUUUGGGUGCAGCCAUCCUGGCUGACAGAGUCAGAUGGCUGAAAUGGAAAGGUUGAUGUUGCCAGUUAGGAGCUACGCAACCAAGGGCAAGUCAUCUGAACUCGCCAGCCUCUCUUCCUCACCUGUAAAGGUAAGCCUAAAAGCACCCAUCCUGUCAUCCUCUUGGGGGUUAGGGAGACUCAAAUGAGUUAACCUAUGUGAAAGAUCUUGUCAGCUUCAAAGUGGAAAUUGGAUGUAACUUAGAGUCAUCGUCAGUGAGAGCCUACAGAAUAAACUGGAAAAUGCGAGCUACCAUUAGAAGAUUGUCAGGACCUGCAUGGAACCAGGUUCCGGGUAUUUUAACUGUCUUAAUGCAGAGAACAAGGGGUUAUUUCAGAGCAUGGCAUUUGAAGCAUUAGGCUUAUUAGACCAUGACUGCAUGACAUUUGUGCACUCACAAAUGGGUUCUUUAUCUUCCUCUUUGCCUCUGAAAUUUAUAAAAAUGCUUUGGUGGCUGCCCAUAAUAGGAUUCUUUACGGAACUGUAUAUUAAAUUGCAUUUGAACUCAUUCUUGAGCAUAUAACCCAUUAUCCAGAACAAACAGGGUUUGGUGGCAGUUCUUACAGAAGAAUCCUGUACUGAGAAUUAAUCCUAGAUUGUAUUAAACUUCCUGACCCUACUUAAUUUGUCAGGCAUGGUUUCUUUUAUGUUUUCCCCCUAAUUCUGGCCUUGUUCCAAAUUUUCCAACUAUUCCUGGAAUAAGUAGGCUAUGUUCAUCCGUCUUUGCACUCACAAUUUCCAGUGACUCUAAUGGGAAUUUCAUGCAACUAGGAUGACAGCAAUUUAU